This 497-nucleotide ribosomal RNA is filed under the name uncultured bacterium. Its description in RNAcentral is "partial 16S ribosomal RNA". It matches the Rfam family "Bacterial small subunit ribosomal RNA", at positions 28 to 507 of the family's 1533-position model. The record is from RNAcentral.
GACGAACGCUGGCGGCGUGCCUAAUACAUGCAAGUUGAGCGCUGAAGGUUGGUACUUGUACCAACUGGAUGAGCAGCGAACGGGUGAGUAACGCGUGGGGAAUCUGCCUUUGAGCGGGGGACAACAUUUGGAAACGAAUGCUAAUACCGCAUAAAAACUUUAAACACAAGUUUUAAGUUUGAAAGAUGCAAUUGCAUCACUCAAAGAUGAUCCCGCGUUGUAUUAGCUAGUUGGUGAGGUAAAGGCUCACCAAGGCGAUGAUACAUAGCCGACCUGAGAGGGUGAUCGGCCACAUUGGGAAUGAGACACGGCCCAAACUCCUACGGGAGGCAGCAGUAGGGGAUCUUCGGCAAUGGACGAAAGUCUGACCGAGCAAAGCCGCGUGAGUGAAGAAGGUUUUCGGAUCGUAAAACUCUGUUGGUAGAGAAGAACGUUGGUGAGAGUGGAAAGCUCAUCAAGUGACGGUAACUACCCAGAAAGGGACGGCUAACUACGUG